This 87-nucleotide unclassified non-coding RNA is filed under the name Pseudomonas sp. bs2935. Lineage: Bacteria; Pseudomonadati; Pseudomonadota; Gammaproteobacteria; Pseudomonadales; Pseudomonadaceae. The record is from RNAcentral.
UGUGGGAGCUGGCUUGCCUGCGAUGCAGACACCUCAGUGGUUCAGUUGAACCGAGGUGAUGCUAUCGCAGGCAAGCCAGCUCCCACA